Molecule: ribosomal RNA, 478 nt
Filed under: uncultured bacterium
Lineage: Bacteria
Description: partial 16S ribosomal RNA
Rfam family: Bacterial small subunit ribosomal RNA
Source: RNAcentral
GACGAACGCUGGCGGCGUGCUUAACACAUGCAAGUCGAACGGUAAGGCCCUUCGGGGUACACGAGUGGCGAACGGGUGAGUAACACGUGGGUAAUCUGCCCUGCACUUCGGGAUAAGCCUGGGAAACUGGGUCUAAUACCGGAUAGGACCACUGCCUGCAUGGGUGGUGGUGGAAAGCUUUUGCGGUGUGGAAUGGGCCCGCGGCCUAUCAGCUUGUUGGUGGGGUGAUGGCCUACCAAGGCGACGACGGGUAGCCGGCCUGAGAGGGUGACCGGCCACACUGGGACUGAGAUACGGCCCAGACUCCUACGGGAGGCAGCAGUGGGGAAUAUUGCACAAUGGGCGCAAGCCUGAUGCAGCGACGCCGCGUGAGGGAUGACGGCCUUCGGGUUGUAAACCUCUUUCAGCACCGACGAAGCGCAAGUGACGGUAGGUGCAGAAGAAGGACCGGCCAACUACGUGCCAGCAGCCGCCGUAA